RNAcentral lists this transfer RNA (76 nucleotides) under Tumebacillus flagellatus. RNAcentral describes it as "tRNA-Thr". It matches the Rfam family "tRNA". Rfam says of the family: Transfer RNA (tRNA) molecules are approximately 80 nucleotides in length. Their secondary structure includes four short double-helical elements and three loops (D, anti-codon, and T loops). The record is from RNAcentral. Lineage: Bacteria; Bacillati; Bacillota; Bacilli; Caryophanales; Alicyclobacillaceae. RNAcentral also lists the same sequence under 1 other name.
GCCGGUGUAGCUCAGUAGGUAGAGCAACUGACUUGUAAUCAGUAGGUCGCGGGUUCGAUUCCUGUUGCCGGCACCA